CGGAGGCAGCAGUGAGGAAUAUUGGUCAAUGGGCGAGAGCCUGAACCAGCCAAGUCGCGUGAAGGAAGAAGGUUCUAUGGAUUGUAAACUUCUUUUGUAAGGGAAUAAAAAGAGUUACGUGUAACUUAUUGUAUGUACUUUACGAAUAAGGAUCGGCUAACUCCGUGCCAGCAGCCGCGGUAAUACGGAGGAUCCAAGCGUUAUCCGGAUUUAUUGGGUUUAAAGGGUGCGUAGGCGGACCCUUAAGUCAGUGGUGAAAGUUUGCGGCUCAACCGUAAAAUUGCCAUUGAAACUGAGGGUCUUGAGUGUAAAUGAGGUAGGCGGAAUGUGUUGUGUAGCGGUGAAAUGCUUAGAUAUAACACAGAACACCAAUUGCGAAGGCAGCUUACUGGGAUACAACUGACGCUGAGGCACGAAAGCGUGGGGAUCAAACAGGAUUAGAUACCCGGGUAGUCCC
Molecule: ribosomal RNA, 457 nt
Filed under: uncultured bacterium
Lineage: Bacteria
Description: bacterial SSU rRNA
Rfam family: Bacterial small subunit ribosomal RNA
Source: RNAcentral